Molecule: ribosomal RNA, 252 nt
Filed under: uncultured bacterium
Lineage: Bacteria
Description: partial 16S ribosomal RNA
Rfam family: Bacterial small subunit ribosomal RNA
Source: RNAcentral
CGAGAGGGGACGAGCGUUAUUCAGCAUGACUGGGCGUAAAGGGCAUCUAGGCAGCACGAAUUGAAAAACUAAACUAACAGCAGUAACUGUGAACAGAAAAGAAAAGUUUGUGCUAGAGUGAGUGAAAGGAAAAUAGGAUUUCUGGUGGAGGGGUAUAAUCCAUAGAGAUCAGAAGGAAUAUCGACAGCGAAGGCAAUUUUUCUAGCACUCUACUGACGCUGACGUUGCGAAAGCGUGGGACCAAACAGGAUU